RNAcentral lists this transfer RNA (71 nucleotides) under Stegodyphus mimosarum. It matches the Rfam family "tRNA". From Rfam's summary of the family: Transfer RNA (tRNA) molecules are approximately 80 nucleotides in length. Their secondary structure includes four short double-helical elements and three loops (D, anti-codon, and T loops). The record is from Rfam by way of RNAcentral. Lineage: Eukaryota; Metazoa; Arthropoda; Arachnida; Araneae; Eresidae.
GCUUUCGUGGUGUAACGGUAGCACACUGGGCACCUAUUCGAGAGGUCCAGGUUCAAGUCCCGGCGAGGGCA